Molecule: microRNA precursor, 144 nt
Filed under: Gossypium hirsutum (cotton)
Lineage: Eukaryota; Viridiplantae; Streptophyta; Magnoliopsida; Malvales; Malvaceae
Description: MIR7502 microRNA precursor family
Rfam family: MIR7502 microRNA precursor family
Source: Rfam by way of RNAcentral
UAUUAAAAAUUUUAUCUGUUUUUUAUUAAAAAUUAGCAUGGCUGUUGGAAUAAUCAAUUGGUUACACGUGAUGUAUCAUAUAUAUACUUCAUGUUGACAUAUAGGGAUCAAGUUUUAACAAAAAAAUGAAUGAAAUUUUUAAUG